UACGAAGGGUGCUAGCGUUGUUCGGAAUUACUGGGCGUAAAGCGCGCGUAGGCGGUUUAACAAGUCAGAGGUGAAAGCCCUGGGCUCAACCCAGGAAUUGCCUUUGAAACUGUUAGACUUGAGUGUCGGAGGGGAUAGCGGAAUUGCUAAUGUAGAGGUGAAAUUCGUAGAUAUUAGCAGGAACACCGGUGGCGAAGGCGGCUAUCUGGACGACUACUGACGCUGAGGCGCGAAAGCACUGGGAUCAAACAGG
Molecule: ribosomal RNA, 253 nt
Filed under: uncultured bacterium
Lineage: Bacteria
Description: partial 16S ribosomal RNA
Rfam family: Bacterial small subunit ribosomal RNA
Source: RNAcentral